AGUUUGAUCCUGGCUCAGAUUGAACGCUGGCGGCAGGCCUAACACAUGCAAGUCGAGCGGCAGCGGGAAAGUAGCUUGCUACUUUUGCCGGCGAGCGGCGGACGGGUGAGUAAUGCCUGGGAAAUUGCCCAGUCGAGGGGGAUAACAGUUGGAAACGACUGCUAAUACCGCAUACGCCCUACGGGGGAAAGCAGGGGACCUUCGGGCCUUGCGCGAUUGGAUAUGCCCAGGUGGGAUUAGCUUGUUGGUGAGGUAAUGGCUCACCAAGGCGACGAUCCCUAGCUGGUCUGAGAGGAUGAUCAGCCACACUGGAACUGAGACACGGUCCAGACUCCUACGGGAGGCAGCAGUGGGGAAUAUUGCACAAUGGGGGAAACCCUGAUGCAGCCAUGCCGCGUGUGUGAAGAAGGCCUUCGGGUUGUAAAGCACUUUCAGCGAGGAGGAAAGGUUGGUAGCUAAUAACUGCCAACUGUGACGUUACUCGCAGAAGAAGCACCGGCUAACUCCGUGCCAGCAGCCGCGGUAAUACGGAGGGUGCGAGCGUUAAUCGGAAUUACUGGGCGUAAAGCGCACG
Molecule: ribosomal RNA, 574 nt
Filed under: uncultured bacterium
Lineage: Bacteria
Description: bacterial SSU rRNA
Rfam family: Bacterial small subunit ribosomal RNA
Source: RNAcentral